AAAAAGACAAAGAAUUUCCACAUUUCCAAUAUUCUGCCUGCAACUCAUUUGGCUGGACAACAAAAAGACUUUAAAGUCAUUUUUCUUAGUUCGACACUCUGGUGAGUUCAGGUCUUCUGUCUUUGUUUUACUGCGGCUCAAAGUGAAGUUACUGUUUUACUGCAGUAGAGUUAAGGUGUUAUGCCUUUGUUUUAAUAUCUGUCAUCAAGCACUUCUGACACACACAGCAGCUUGACUAAAGUGUAGCAAAGAAA
Long non-coding RNA from Labrus mixtus (cuckoo wrasse), 254 nucleotides. RefSeq lists it as uncharacterized. NCBI's taxonomy places the organism in Eukaryota, Metazoa, Chordata, Actinopteri, Labriformes, Labridae. The record is from RefSeq and is a predicted model, not a curated record. The transcript is spliced from 2 exons.